Harpegnathos saltator (Jerdon's jumping ant) is the source of this 752-nucleotide long non-coding RNA. RefSeq lists it as uncharacterized. NCBI's taxonomy places the organism in Eukaryota, Metazoa, Arthropoda, Insecta, Hymenoptera, Formicidae. The record is from RefSeq and is a predicted model, not a curated record. The transcript is spliced from 3 exons.
GCUUACGCCUUUCUGUCUGUAAAAUUACGUAGUACCACCACUGUUCGUCUUGUCUGCACUACUGAACUGGUACAACAAGUUGAACUGAGAAAACCUACGUUUGUUUAACCUACCUCAGUUUAACUUAAUGCACCAGUUCAGCAGUGCAAAACGAACAGGUCUAUUAUCGUUUUCUAACCUAAAAAUACGUCUACACGAAUGACAAGUUGUUCCGGAUUAUUUCGAAUUCAUUAACAGGCAUCCAAUGCUUGUUGAAGAUCAUCUAUGAGGUCCUGUUCUGUUUCGAGGCCAACAGAUACUCGAAUCAAGUUCUCUGUAAUACCUAACUCAUACCGUGUUUUCAAAGGUACUGAAGCAUGUGAUGUGAAGAAACUACAUGAAAAACAAAAAUAUUCGUCAAUAUAUAAUAUUGUGAAACUUGAUAAGUAAUAAUCAGUUGUUUCUCCUUACGGUAAUUCAACCAAUGAUUCAGGAUUGCCCAAGGAUCCAGCUAAAGUGAAUAUUUUCAAUGCCUUAUAAAACUUCGCAGGGUCACCUUUUAGAUAGAAAGAUACCAUCCCACUGUGGCCGGUUGAUUGUUUAACUGCGAUCUUGUGUUGCGGGUGUGAUGGAAGAUCUGUAACAUAAGAACGUGUCUUAUCAAACUUGUAUCAUGAGAUAAAGCGAAAAAUAAUUUACACGUACAAGGAUGGAGCACCUUCUCCACUUUGGGAUGUGUUUCUAGAAAUUUUGCUACAGCCAGACCAUUCUUC